RNAcentral lists this transfer RNA (72 nucleotides) under Marmota monax (woodchuck). It matches the Rfam family "tRNA". Rfam says of the family: Transfer RNA (tRNA) molecules are approximately 80 nucleotides in length. Lineage: Eukaryota; Metazoa; Chordata; Mammalia; Rodentia; Sciuridae. The record is from Rfam by way of RNAcentral.
UGGGCUGUGGCUCAGUGGCAGAGUGCUUGCCUAGCAUGCAUGAGGCACUGGGUUCAAUCCUCAGCACCACAU